AUUCUACUGGUUAUGAGUGAGUCCUUGAUCCACUGAGAUCCAAGAGGAUGAGACAAAGUCCCCAUAUCUCAAUGAAAGAAGUGUCGAGGUCACAUUGAAGAAGACCAUGUGGGAUGGGAGAGAGACAUAGUGGUCACAUUUGAGAAAGGCCAUCUGACAGAUGGGAGAAGCUGAAAGGGCUGCAGACAGCAGAAGCCUCCCCUGGACCUGCAAAUAGACCAGUGCAGGCAUUGAACAUCUGGGGCAAGACUAGAGUCUCCCAGCAGAAUGUAUGACCUGAAACUGGUCCCGAGGAAACAUCAGAUGGACCACGUUGAGCAUCACACUGCAGAAUGUAGGGCUGCAUUCUUCCAAACUGUUGGGAUGGUGAAAGUCAGGGAAAGACUGAGGAAUUGCUCCAAACUGGGGCAGACUGCAAAGAUGUGACAAUUAAAUGCAACGUGUAACUCGGGG
Molecule: long non-coding RNA, 453 nt
Organism: Pan troglodytes (chimpanzee)
Lineage: Eukaryota; Metazoa; Chordata; Mammalia; Primates; Hominidae
Exons: 3
Source: RefSeq, a predicted model, not a curated record